RNAcentral lists this ribosomal RNA (253 nucleotides) under uncultured bacterium. Its description in RNAcentral is "partial 16S ribosomal RNA". It matches the Rfam family "Bacterial small subunit ribosomal RNA", at positions 524 to 776 of the family's 1533-position model. The record is from RNAcentral.
UACGUAGGGUGCAAGCGUUGUCCGGAAUUAUUGGGCGUAAAGAGCUCGUAGGCGGUUUGUCGCGUCUGCUGUGAAAACUCGGGGCUUAACUCCGGGCCUGCAGUGGGUACGGGCAGACUAGAGUGCGGUAGGGGAGACUGGAAUUCCUGGUGUAGCGGUGAAAUGCGCAGAUAUCAGGAGGAACACCGAUGGCGAAGGCAGGUCUCUGGGCCACUACUGACGCUCAUGCACGAAAGCGUGGGGAGCAAACAGG